Molecule: long non-coding RNA, 332 nt
Filed under: Lupinus angustifolius (narrow-leaved blue lupine)
Lineage: Eukaryota; Viridiplantae; Streptophyta; Magnoliopsida; Fabales; Fabaceae
Description: long non-coding RNA (LANG_LNC000531)
Source: RNAcentral
UCAUGGUACUCCAUUCUUGAAGAGCUUGAAAAAGAAUAUCAAGAAGUUAGCUUAUGUACUUGAAAAGAAUUAUAAUCUGACUUGAUGGAAGUGCCCUUGGUAGAGUUGAGUAUGCAUGUCAUGAUGAGGUUCUUGCAUGUUGAAGACUUUGACAUAUCUUCAAUAGCUUCUUGCGUGUUAAAAAUAAGAACAAUCAAAGAAGAUGAAAGACAUAAGCGGAAACACAUAAUUAUUACUCUGAUACCAUGUUAAAAUGGCAGGAGCCAUAUAUGAAUGAGAAAGAAAGGAUGAACAAGAAAGAAGGAAGAAAAAGAUAAAGAAUAGAAAAUCAA